UCAGGUUACAAUGGAUUUGGUAUUCGCCAGAAAUAGGUGUUAUUGGUCCAAAUGAGCAUCAAUUAUUUUGAUUAUUUCCGGGUGCUCUUCUGUCUGCAUGAGCUAAUGAAAGUCAAAAGACAUUAACUAAAGUAUUUUGUACAUUAACAAAGAAACUUGGAAACUUUACUAAAGUGCUAUCGUGUUAGUGACAGUGUGACAAAAUAAGCAAACAAUGUGAUGAGUGUAGAUAACGCGCGUUUGUGUUGACGAAGCGCGCGUAUAUGCUAGCGUGCAUAUGCGAAACGCGCGAUUGUGAAAGCGUAUACGGAGCACGCGUUUAUGCUAGUGUCAGUUCGUGGAACGCGCGUAUGUGUUAGCGUGUCAAUGUUCACGCGCUGCUAGCGUGCGAUCACGCGCGUUUCCGCGCGUUUGUGAGCGCGUUUAGCGGAGGGGCCGUUUGGAAUUAAGCUGGGUGCACAACACGGCGUCGGCGGAGCCUCGAG
Long non-coding RNA from Aricia agestis (brown argus), 485 nucleotides. RefSeq lists it as uncharacterized. The transcript has 3 exons. The record is from RefSeq and is a predicted model, not a curated record. NCBI's taxonomy places the organism in Eukaryota, Metazoa, Arthropoda, Insecta, Lepidoptera, Lycaenidae.